GUGGGGAAUUUUGGACAAUGGGCGCAAGCCUGAUCCAGCAAUGCCGCGUGCAGGAAGAAGGCCUUCGGGUUGUAAACUGCUUUUGUACGGAACGAAACGGCUCUGGUUAAUACCCGGGGCUAAUGACGGUACCGUAAGAAUAAGCACCGGCUAACUACGUGCCAGCAGCCGCGGUAAUACGUAGGGUGCAAGCGUUAAUCGGAAUUACUGGGCGUAAAGCGUGCGCAGGCGGUUUUGUAAGACAGGCGUGAAAUCCCCGGGCUCAACCUGGGAAUGGCGCUUGUGACUGCAAAGCUGGAGUGCGGCAGAGGGGGAUGGAAUUCCGCGUGUAGCGGUGAAAUGCGUAGAUAUGCGGAGGAACACCGAUGGCGAAGGCAAUCCCCUGGGCCUGCACUGACGCUCAUGCACGAAAGCGUGGGGAGCAAACAGGAUUAGAUACCCUGGUAGUCC
Molecule: ribosomal RNA, 450 nt
Filed under: uncultured bacterium
Lineage: Bacteria
Description: partial 16S ribosomal RNA
Rfam family: Bacterial small subunit ribosomal RNA
Source: RNAcentral